AGGGGCAGCAUGGGCGUGGCAACACGCCCGAUGGCGACCGGCGCACUGGUGAGUAACACGUAUGCAACCUGCCCCGCGCAGGGGGAUAAUCCGGAGAAAUCUGGUCUAAUACCCCGUACGCCUCCAUCCCGCAUGGAGUGGAGGUGAAAGGAUCUUUUCCGGCACGGGAUGGGCAUGCGGCGCAUUAGCUAGUCGGCGGGGUGACGGCCCACCGAGGCGACGAUGCGUAGGGGUUCUGAGAGGAAGGUCCCCCACACUGGUACUGAGACACGGACCAGACUCCUACGGGAGGCAGCAGUGAGGAAUAUUGGUCAAUGGACGGAGGUCUGAACCAGCCAAGUCGCGUGAGGGAUGACGGCCCUACGGGUUGUAAACCUCUUUUGCGGGGGAGUAAAGUGCGCAACGCGUUGCGCAUUGCGAGUACCCCGAGAAAAAGCAUCGGCUAAUUCCGUGCCAGCAGCCGCGGUAAUACGGAAGAUGCGAGCGUUAUCCGGAUUUAUUGGGUUUAAAGGGUGCGCAGGCGGCGCGUCAAGUCAGCGGUCAAAGUUCCGGGCUCAACCCGGUGAUGCCGUUGAAACUGGCGAGCUUGAGUUCGUGGGAGGAAGGCGGAAUGCGCGGUGUAGCGGUGAAAUGCAUAGAUAUCACGCAGAACCCCGAUUGCGAAGGCAGCCUUCCAUCACGCCACUGACGCUGAGGCACGAAAGCGUGGGUAUCGAACAGGAUUAGAUACCCUGGUAGUCCACGCA
RNAcentral lists this ribosomal RNA (746 nucleotides) under uncultured bacterium. Its description in RNAcentral is "bacterial SSU rRNA". It matches the Rfam family "Bacterial small subunit ribosomal RNA", at positions 65 to 801 of the family's 1533-position model. The record is from RNAcentral.